Molecule: transfer RNA, 85 nt
Filed under: Neoakkermansia glycaniphila
Lineage: Bacteria; Pseudomonadati; Verrucomicrobiota; Verrucomicrobiia; Verrucomicrobiales; Akkermansiaceae
Description: Akkermansia glycaniphila tRNA
Rfam family: tRNA
About the family: Transfer RNA (tRNA) molecules are approximately 80 nucleotides in length. Their secondary structure includes four short double-helical elements and three loops (D, anti-codon, and T loops). Further hydrogen bonds mediate the characteristic L-shaped molecular structure. tRNAs have two regions of fundamental functional importance: the anti-codon, which is responsible for specific mRNA codon recognition, and the 3' end, to which the tRNAs corresponding amino acid is attached (by aminoacyl-tRNA synthetases). tRNAs cope with the degeneracy of the genetic code in two manners: having more than one tRNA (with a specific anti-codon) for a particular amino acid; and 'wobble' base-pairing, i.e. permitting non-standard base-pairing at the 3rd anti-codon position.
Source: Rfam by way of RNAcentral
GGAGAGAUGGCUGAGCGGCUUAAGGCACCCGACUCGAAAUCGGACGUACGGCAACGUACCGUGGGUUCAAAUCCCACUCUCUCCG